AUGCCCAGCGAAGUCAAGAAAAUUUCCUUUACGAAAAGAUUUUGGAUCGAACGGGAAUCUAACCCCGCCACCUUCAGCAUGGCUAUGCUUUAUAGUCGCAGACUAGGCUUAGAAAGUUGUAGCCCUUGCCGGGAAAAUACAAUUUUCUCGAAAGUUUCCACCGAUAAAAUCUUUUCUCUCGCUCCCCGACGAAUAUUGUCGUCUCUCGAACUGAGGUUGACACAAAAUACGGAAAUAUUCGUUGGGUUGAAGACUGAACACCUAGGUAUACUUUUUCGGGGUCCAGUCCGUAUACGUGACACUCCUGACAACAAACGAUGGCAACGACAACAGCGACGACAAGCGUUAGCCUUCGGGGUGGAAUGAGUUAUAACCACCAGAUGGCGGAAAACUUAUUCCUUUUCCUGUUCAACUUUUCGAAUAUUUAUGAUGAUGCAUUGUCGUCUUGUGUCGAUAGUGCUCACUCAGUCAAUGGUGGUACGUGGGAACCCGCGAAAUGGGCAUUAAGAAAGUUUAUCAAAGAAGGUGAACGAAAGUUCAUGCAGGGUUUCACAAUUUUCAUUUGAUACAUUUGCAAAUAAAAGUGGAGAGAGUGCUACUAGACAUGGGAAAAUGUUUGUGUUAGUAAGAUAAGGUUGUUUGUUUUUUAUUUUCUUUAGAAAAAGUCAGCCUCAAACAUCAUUUCUUAGAUCUUUACGCAAUCUUUAAAAUUUCUAACUUUUCUUCUCGUAUUUCCUUUUGGUUCUGCAUUUCCACUUGGAACUUGGCCUAGUCUUCAUCUUAGUGUUUUUAUGAGCAUUUUUACAGUUAUUAUGACGGUGUGAAGCAUUUAUUGCGAAUUAAAAUCUAGCAAACUCAUUGAACCUAUCCAUAUGCUUUCAACUAAUUGUCCAAUCCAAACGCAACAAUCAUUCAUAAAUUUACACAUGGCAUACAUAUAAAAUAUUAACGAAUAAUUCAAAUUUUGACGAAGCAAGAGGCUAAAUAGUUUGUACAUAUAAACACACGGAAGUAGGUAAUCAUUGAGCAUUUUAUUCGUGCUAAAUCAGGCUACACUUUAAGUUUGAUGAUAUUUUUCAAGCAUCAUCAAUGAAAAAGCAUGGGAUUCUAAUCCCGCUAGCAAAUGCGUAAAAAUCUCUACAAAUCUGGAACAUUUCGAUCAAAACACCUUAUAGGUAAAUGUUUUGUUUUUUUUUUUUCACUAAGCGCAAUCAAGGAAGAAUCCACCGUUCCAGCUGUACAGUAUUAGUGUUUUAAACCGCCGAAAAACAAGAGAACAAAUCGACGUCGCUUGAAAUCCACUCUAAGAGCUUAGAUACUCAUGUUACGAAUAGGGAAAUGGUACCAUAUUUUAAUCAAAGAAAAAUGUCUUACAAAUGACGCAGUCGAAUCUAGACAUCGGUUUGAUUAUCAACUCGUUGUCUAAUGGAAUUUCGUGAGCAAUUCACGAAUGCACUUUUACAUCUACAUAAACAUGUUAAUAUGCUAUCGAUAAAAGCUAGAACUUAUCACACAUCCAUUAGUUGUUUUCCCCAUGUCUCCCCUUUCACGAAAAUGAUACGAUAUGAAGCGAUCUAACGAAACGUAAAUCAUGCUAAGCACAUACACAUUUCAACUAUGUAGCGUUACCAAGCAAAUCAAAAGUAUCAUCAGAAUGGAAGUAAACAACACUAUAAACUUUUACGUUACUGUUUUUGACCUUAUGUUUGUCUUUAUUAAUUCUUUGGAUAACGAAACGACAUCCAAAAACAAGUUGUAAACAAACGCCAAAGGAGUACUCUUAAGUUGUAAAAGUAAAACAAACAAAACCAGUAAUUAGACUCACGAACGAGAAGCGGAAGACUUCUUUGAGCUGCCCAGACGGCGAAGUUUUUGUAUCAUAUAUUGUAAUAAAAAAAAAAAGAGAAAGCCGUGCUGCGGGAAAGAAAGGUACACAACCAGAGUUAGUGAUAAAUAGCUAAGAACAAAAAAAAUGAAACGAAAAUAUCCACCUAAAACACAGAGAUAAGAAAAGCAGAACAAACCAUUUUACAACCAACCAAAUUAGUGUGCUAGAGUUAUUAUGCAAAGGAUGAUCCAUUACAAAUAGAUAAAAAACAAAACCAUACCGAUUAUACACAAGACCCGGGGGCCAAAAUGUCCUAGUUGUUUAUUUUGGAUAGGGAUUGGGGACUGAUACGUGUGAAAGAAACAGAAAAUAUAAUGAGCAAAUUAGGGAUCGAAAAUUGUAAUCAAAAACCGGAAGAAACUGAGAGCUGCCAGCCAAAAGGAGAUGGUCAUUGCCAUGUUGAGCAUUUCCACCUCGCGUCGAUUGUGGGAAUAAAAAAAAGGCCAAAGAUAGUCAGGUGGCUCACGAUAAGGGUAGGGUGGGGUUGGUCAACUAAUCCGAAAAGUAACACAAAUAGUAUAAAUGUAGAAAUGCGCUUCUAGCGAAACUAGAUAACGGAUGAUAAUAAUGAUGAACACAAAAACCAAAAACCUAGAAAAUAACAGUGGAAAUAAAAUCAAAUGUAGAAUAAUGGAUAUGAUGAAUAUGAAUAAAAUUGUAUAAACUGA
Molecule: long non-coding RNA, 2556 nt
Filed under: Aedes aegypti (yellow fever mosquito)
Lineage: Eukaryota; Metazoa; Arthropoda; Insecta; Diptera; Culicidae
Description: lncRNA AAEL020044
Source: RNAcentral